UGCCUUUAUGUGUUGCCCGUUCGUUUCCAUCUAGACGAACGUGGUGUCAGAAAAGGCGCACAGGAACUCUCGUGAUGGUUUUUAUCGGCAUGGAAAACUGUUGUGAUUUCUGUGGUCCUGCUGUUACGAGCACAUCU
This is a small nucleolar RNA of Trichomycterus rosablanca, 137 nucleotides long. RefSeq annotates it as small nucleolar RNA SNORA13. The record is from RefSeq and is a predicted model, not a curated record. NCBI's taxonomy places the organism in Eukaryota, Metazoa, Chordata, Actinopteri, Siluriformes, Trichomycteridae. The transcript has a single exon.